Grus americana (Whooping crane) is the source of this 1699-nucleotide long non-coding RNA. RefSeq lists it as uncharacterized. Lineage: Eukaryota; Metazoa; Chordata; Aves; Gruiformes; Gruidae. The record is from RefSeq and is a predicted model, not a curated record. The transcript is spliced from 5 exons.
GGGAGGGAGCGAGUUUGGGGGUCGUGGUGGAGGGGUUUUAUGGCUAGCGCCGGGGCGAGGGCUGUCUGGGAGCAGUUCCCCUUGGCUGGGCAAAGGGAGCGGGUUACAUGUCACCACGAUGCUAGACCGGGCAGGGCAGUUGCAGCCUGUGUUAUGUCUGCGUGUCUCGUCCUGUGUGUCUUAGCCCUUCCUUGGGUCUCAACGCCCUCUUGGCGCUCGAGGGGCAUGGCAUGCUUCUCGGGCGCCGUCCCUAGGCUCUCGAACGCCGGUACUUGUCAGCGUACCGCCAAUCGGGCGCUUCUUUUCUCGCAUAGCGAGAUUACGGCGUGGAUCAUUCUUGCGUGUCGGAAGUUUCUGGAGGGUCCUCUAUUUGCAGCGCUAUACCAGGCUGCGUUCGGAGCUCUGCUCUCCAGCUAUCCGUUUUCAGGGACUGGGUCUUCCUCCCUGCAUCCUUACCUCCUUAGGUCUUGAAGACGGGCUUCUUGCUGCCCCCAUCAUCUCGGUUUUGACAGUAACUUCUUAUAACGGGCCAUUUACGGUCAAUUCUCUUCUGGGGUUGCCAUAGAGCUUCCUCACCUGGGUGUCGUGCCCUAUAGGUCGCCUUGCUCGGCAGCCUCUCCGGUCCGGGAGUCAUUCCUCUCGCUAAGAGUGUUCUCUCGUUUGUGAGUUGCGUUGUUUGUAGCGUUCUGUGUAGCGUCUGUCUCUGUGUGUGGUGUGUGUGUGUGGAGCUGCUCUGCCCAGGGCUGUCGAGUCGGGGAUAGGCGGAAUAGCAAUAGGAGCGUACGGUUAGCGUGCCGAUACGGCCAGUCCGGAAUUGUUUGGCUCUCACUCGGCAUCUGGGUGACUUGUUUGAUAACUCGGUGUGAUUUUUCCAGAUGCGGACUGGCUAGAUGCCCACCGACGAGCGGCAGAGGAGGAGAGCAGAGCGCCGUAAGAAGGUGGCGGUCAGGCCUCGGCACGGCAGGCCGAAGAAUCCGACUCCGAGCGGCCGAGGAAAAGGGACAGGCGAGAGGAAGGCGUUUCCAAGGAGGGCUUCGUCGCAGCGGAGGUCGACGCCGGGCGGCACGUCGGCGACCGGCGACGCUCUGUCUCGUGAGGGAUGAAGCGGAACCUGGGGGAUGGGGGAGCAUCCCGGUUAGAUGACCUUUUCCCCAUGAGAAGGGAAUCUGGAUUCUGCCCUCUGAAAGCCCCGACCAACUGCACAACAAGCCUUGUUAAGGGCCAGUCGGCACACAAUACCUGACUUAGUCCCACCUCGCCAAAAGUAUAAAUCUGGCAUUCAGAAUCCUCUUUUUUGAGGACGAGAACUCCAACUAUCUGGACAGGUUGACGGGCCUGGACCUCUCUCUCUCCUCCCCAAGCAGGGACGCCUCUUUGGUGCCACGGCACGAUUUGGAUUCCCGCACGACAGCCUCGAGUGAGGUUUUUGUGGAGUAUCCAAGCAACAGCGAAGGAGCGGUGCAGUUAGCAAGGCAUCUUCCCUGGUCCCUGCCUAUGAGCGCUAACUCUACAGAGUCAGGCGGAGCGGCGAUGCUGACUUAAGGGACAGGGCAGGGAAUCAGAGUAGCUAUCCAGGUGACUGCAAGCUGCACGUGUUUGGCCAGGGGUUGGAAUCAGAGGAUCCAGAUUCCAUUGUAGUAGAAAGCUCUGGAACGAGAAAAAUGUUAAGCGAAGCAGGAGAGAUUGACUGUCAAUGUGC